This 222-nucleotide ribosomal RNA is filed under the name uncultured Glomeromycotina. RNAcentral's name for it is "partial 18S ribosomal RNA". The stretch from base 39 to 222 matches the Rfam family "Eukaryotic small subunit ribosomal RNA", at positions 685 to 869 of the family's 1831-position model. Lineage: Eukaryota; Fungi; Glomeromycota. The record is from RNAcentral.
UGGUUAGUAAGUUGGUCAUGCCUUCGGUGUGUACUGGCUUUACUGAUUCCUCCUUCUUGACGAACCGUGAUGUCAUUAAUUUGGUGUUGCGGGAAAUCAGGACUGUUACUUUUUGAAAAAAUUAGAGUGUUUAAAGCAGGCUAACGCUUGAAUACAUUAGCAUGGAAUAAUGAAAUAGGACGUUAAUCCUAUUUUGUUGGUUUCUAGGAUCGACGUAAUGAU